RNAcentral lists this ribosomal RNA (503 nucleotides) under uncultured bacterium. RNAcentral describes it as "bacterial SSU rRNA". It matches the Rfam family "Bacterial small subunit ribosomal RNA", at positions 29 to 507 of the family's 1533-position model. The record is from RNAcentral.
AACGAACGCUGGCGGCGUGGAUUAGGCAUGCAAGUCGAACGAGAACGCACCCUUCGGGGUGUUAGUACAGUGGCGGACGGGUGAGUAUCGCGUGGGAAACCUGCCUUUGAGCGGGGGAUAACAGUUCUAACGGACUGCUAAUACCGCAUGACGCUGUUGAUCGCAUGUUCAACAGUUAAAGAUGGCCUCUACAUGUAAGCUGUCGCUUAAAGAUGGUCCCGCGUCCUAUUAGCUUGUUGGUGGGGUAACGGCCUACCAAGGCAACGAUGGGUAGCCGGCCUGAGAGGGUGGUCGGCCACACUGGGACUGAGAUACGGCCCAGACUCCUACGGGAGGCAGCAGUCGAGAGGCUUCGGCAAUGGGGGAAACCCUGACCGAGCGACGUCGCGUGGGUGAUGAAGAUUCUUGGAUCGUAAAACCCUGUCAGGUGGGAUGAAAUGCCAUUAGGUGAAUAGUCUAGUGGUUUGACAGUACCACCAGAGGAAGCUCCGGCUAACUCCGUA